UACAGAGGGGGCAAGCGUUGUUCGGAAUUACUGGGCGUAAAGGGCGCGUAGGCGGCCUUCUAAGUCAGACGUGAAAUCCCUCGGCUCAACCGGGGAACUGCGUCUGAGACUGGAAGGCUUGAAUCCGGGAGAGGGAUGUGGAAUUCCAGGUGUAGCGGUGAAAUGCGUAGAUAUCUGGAGGAACACCGGUGGCGAAGGCGGCGUUCUGGACUGUCUCUGACACUGAAGAACGAAAGCCAGGGGAGCAAACGGG
Molecule: ribosomal RNA, 253 nt
Filed under: uncultured bacterium
Lineage: Bacteria
Description: partial 16S ribosomal RNA
Rfam family: Bacterial small subunit ribosomal RNA
Source: RNAcentral